RNAcentral lists this unclassified non-coding RNA (22 nucleotides) under Mus musculus (house mouse). RNAcentral's name for it is "oocyte_clustered_small_RNA4102". Lineage: Eukaryota; Metazoa; Chordata; Mammalia; Rodentia; Muridae. The record is from RNAcentral.
UUAGCCUCGCAACCCAUGGCAA